AAUCCAUAGGUUAAUGAGGCGAACCGGGGGAACUGAAACAUCUAAGUACCCCGAGGAAAAGAAAUCAACCGAGAUUCCCCCAGUAGCGGCGAGCGAACGGGGAGGAGCCCAGAGCCUGAAUCAGCAUGUGUGUUAGUGGAAGCGUCUGGAAAGGCGCGCGAUACAGGGUGACAGCCCCGUACACAAAAGCGCAUGUGCUGUGAGCUCGAUGAGUAGGGCGGGACACGUGGUAUCCUGUCUGAAUAUGGGGGGACCAUCCUCCAAGGCUAAAUACUCCUGACUGACCGAUAGUGAACCAGUACCGUGAGGGAAAGGCGAAAAGAACCCCGGCGAGGGGAGUGAAAAAGAACCUGAAACCGUGUACGUACAAGCAGUGGGAGCCCCACCACCAAAGCGUUUCGCUUUGUGUGGUGCACAAAGAAGCGUAACGACAGCACUGAAUGACGGUUAACGGAGCGCAAGCGACGUUCAACAUACAAAGUCAAGCAGUGGAG
RNAcentral lists this ribosomal RNA (494 nucleotides) under Salmonella enterica subsp. enterica serovar Weltevreden. Its description in RNAcentral is "partial 23S ribosomal RNA". The stretch from base 1 to 366 matches the Rfam family "Bacterial large subunit ribosomal RNA", at positions 161 to 565 of the family's 2925-position model. The record is from RNAcentral. Lineage: Bacteria; Pseudomonadati; Pseudomonadota; Gammaproteobacteria; Enterobacterales; Enterobacteriaceae.